GGGUUGUGAGGUUAAGCGACUAAGCGUACACGGUGGAUGCCCUGGCAGUCAGAGGCGAUGAAGGGCGUGCUAAUCUGCGAUAAGCGCCGGUAAGGUGAUAUGAACCGUUAUAACCGGCGAUACCCGAAUGGGGAAACCCAGUGUGAUUCGUCACACUAUCAUUAACUGAAUCCAUAGGUUAAUGAGGCGAACCGGGGGAACUGAAACAUCUAAGUACCCCGAGGAAAAGAAAUCAACCGAGAUUCCCCCAGUAGCGGCGAGCGAACGGGGAGGAGCCCAGAGCCUGAAUCAGCAUGUGUGUUAGUGGAAGCGUCUGGAAAGGCGCGCGAUACAGGGUGACAGCCCCGUACACAAAAGCGCAUGUGCUGUGAGCUCGAUGAGUAGGGCGGGACACGUGGUAUCCUGUCUGAAUAUGGGGGGACCAUCCUCCAAGGCUAAAUACUCCUGACUGACCGAUAGUGAACCAGUACCGUGAGGGAAAGGCGAAAAGAACCCCGGCGAGGGGAGUGAAAAAGAACCUGAAACCGUGUACGUACAAGCAGUGGGAGCACAGGUUUACCUGUGUGACUGCGUACCUUUUGUAUAAUGGGUCAGCGACUUAUAUUCUGUAGCAAGGUUAACCGUAUAGGGGAGCCGCAGGGAAACCGAGUCUUAAUUGGGCGUUAAGUUGCAGGGUAUAGACCCGAAACCCGGUGAUCUAGCCAUGGGCAGGUUGAAGGUUGGGUAACACUAACUGGAGGACCGAACCGACUAAUGUUGAAAAAUUAGCGGAUGACCUGUGGCUGGGGGUGAAAGGCCAAUCAAACCGGGAGAUAGCUGGUUCUCCCCGAAAGCUAUUUAGGUAGCGCCUCGUGAAUUCAUCUCCGGGGGUAGAGCACUGUUUCGGCUAGGGGGCCAUCCCGGCUUACCAACCCGAUGCAAACUGCGAAUACCGGAGAAUGUUAUCACGGGAGACACACGGCGGGUGCUAACGUCCGUCGUGAAGAGGGAAACAACCCAGACCGCCAGCUAAGGUCCCAAAGUCAUGGUUAAGUGGGAAACGAUGUGGGAAGGCCCAGACAGCCAGGAUGUUGGCUUAGAAGCAGCCAUCAUUUAAAGAAAGCGUAAUAGCUCACUGGUCGAGUCGGCCUGCGCGGAAGAUGUAACGGGGCUAAACCAUGCACCGAAGCUGCGGCAGCGACGCUUAUGCGUUGCUGGGUAGGGGAGCGUUCUGUAAGCCUGCGAAGGUGGCCUGUGAGGGUUGCUGGAGGUAUCAGAAGUGCGAAUGCUGACAUAAGUAACGAUAAAGCGGGUGAAAAGCCCGCUCGCCGGAAGACCAAGGGUUCCUGUCCAACGUUAAUCGGGGCAGGGUGAGUCGACCCCUAAGGCGAGGCCGAAAGGCGUAGUCGAUGGGAAACGGGUUAAUAUUCCCGUACUUGGUGUUACUGCGAAGGGGGGACGGAGAAGGCUAUGUUGGCCGGGCGACGGUUGUCCCGGUUUAAGCGUGUAGGUGUGUGUUCCAGGUAAAUCCGGUUCACUUUAACACUGAGGCGUGACGACGAGGCACUACGGUGCUGAAGCAACAAAUGCCCUGCUUCCAGGAAAAGCCUCUAAGCAUCAGGUAACAUCAAAUCGUACCCCAAACCGACACAGGUGGUCAGGUAGAGAAUACCAAGGCGCUUGAGAGAACUCGGGUGAAGGAACUAGGCAAAAUGGUGCCGUAACUUCGGGAGAAGGCACGCUGACACGUAGGUGAAGUGAUUUACUCAUGGAGCUGAAGUCAGUCGAAGAUACCAGCUGGCUGCAACUGUUUAUUAAAAACACAGCACUGUGCAAACACGAAAGUGGACGUAUACGGUGUGACGCCUGCCCGGUGCCGGAAGGUUAAUUGAUGGGGUCAGCGCAAGCGAAGCUCCUGAUCGAAGCCCCGGUAAACGGCGGCCGUAACUAUAACGGUCCUAAGGUAGCGAAAUUCCUUGUCGGGUAAGUUCCGACCUGCACGAAUGGCGUAAUGAUGGCCAGGCUGUCUCCACCCGAGACUCAGUGAAAUUGAACUCGCUGUGAAGAUGCAGUGUACCCGCGGCAAGACGGAAAGACCCCGUGAACCUUU
Molecule: ribosomal RNA, 2089 nt
Filed under: Salmonella enterica subsp. enterica serovar Mississippi
Lineage: Bacteria; Pseudomonadati; Pseudomonadota; Gammaproteobacteria; Enterobacterales; Enterobacteriaceae
Description: partial 23S ribosomal RNA
Rfam family: Bacterial large subunit ribosomal RNA
Source: RNAcentral